Cinara cedri is the source of this 373-nucleotide non-coding RNA. Lineage: Eukaryota; Metazoa; Arthropoda; Insecta; Hemiptera; Aphididae. The record is from the annotation of a GenBank genome assembly.
UCAUCGUUCAAAAACUACGUAAAGAAUUUGUAUAUUACAUUUUUAUUUAAAGGAAAACGUUUAAAGAAUAAAUCACACAAAGCCGAUCGAUUCACUUACAAACCACAAUAAUGUACGAUAUUUGUUCAGCAUGCAUAUUUUUAAUUGUACACAACACACAUAUUAAUUUCAGUAAUAAUAUAUAAUCCCUCUCCAGUUUCCACAAACCUUUUUUAUUAUCUUCAUGUUUGCAUACUAAAAAAAAAAUCUGAUAAUGGGGACGAGUGUCCCGCUGUUGUAAGUGUAAAGGUAGGAAGGUAGGAUACGUAGUUGUUUAAUUUAUAUCUGUAACCAAUGAUAAAUCAUUGCCAACGAAAAACGAUUCGAAGCAAAG